RNAcentral lists this ribosomal RNA (1536 nucleotides) under Marinobacter persicus. RNAcentral's name for it is "bacterial SSU rRNA". It matches the Rfam family "Bacterial small subunit ribosomal RNA". The record is from RNAcentral. Lineage: Bacteria; Pseudomonadati; Pseudomonadota; Gammaproteobacteria; Pseudomonadales; Marinobacteraceae.
UGAAGAGUUUGAUCAUGGCUCAGAUUGAACGCUGGCGGCAGGCUUAACACAUGCAAGUCGAGCGGUAACAGGGGGUGCUUGCACCCCGCUGACGAGCGGCGGACGGGUGAGUAAUGCUUAGGAAUCUGCCCAGUAGUGGGGGAUAGCCCGGGGAAACCCGGAUUAAUACCGCAUACGUCCUACGGGAGAAAGCAGGGGAUCUUCGGACCUUGCGCUAUUGGAUGAGCCUAAGUCGGAUUAGCUAGUUGGUGAGGUAAAGGCUCACCAAGGCCACGAUCCGUAGCUGGUUUGAGAGGAUGAUCAGCCACAUCGGGACUGAGACACGGCCCGAACUCCUACGGGAGGCAGCAGUGGGGAAUAUUGGACAAUGGGGGCAACCCUGAUCCAGCCAUGCCGCGUGUGUGAAGAAGGCUUUCGGGUUGUAAAGCACUUUCAGUGAGGAGGAAAACCUUACGACUAAUACUCGUGAGGCUUGACGUUACUCACAGAAGAAGCACCGGCUAACUCCGUGCCAGCAGCCGCGGUAAUACGGAGGGUGCAAGCGUUAAUCGGAAUUACUGGGCGUAAAGCGCGCGUAGGUGGUUCGAUAAGCGGGAUGUGAAAGCCCCGGGCUUAACCUGGGAACGGCAUUCCGAACUGUCGGGCUAGAGUAUGGUAGAGGGUAGUGGAAUUUCCUGUGUAGCGGUGAAAUGCGUAGAUAUAGGAAGGAACACCAGUGGCGAAGGCGGCUACCUGGACCAAUACUGACACUGAGGUGCGAAAGCGUGGGGAGCAAACAGGAUUAGAUACCCUGGUAGUCCACGCCGUAAACGAUGUCAACUAGCCGUUGGGACUCUUGAAGUCUUAGUGGCGCAGCUAACGCACUAAGUUGACCGCCUGGGGAGUACGGCCGCAAGGUUAAAACUCAAAUGAAUUGACGGGGGCCCGCACAAGCGGUGGAGCAUGUGGUUUAAUUCGACGCAACGCGAAGAACCUUACCUGGCCUUGACAUCCAGAGAACUUUCCAGAGAUGGAUUGGUGCCUUCGGGAACUCUGUGACAGGUGCUGCAUGGCCGUCGUCAGCUCGUGUCGUGAGAUGUUGGGUUAAGUCCCGUAACGAGCGCAACCCCUAUCCCUGGUUGCUAGCAGGUAAAGCUGAGAACUCCAGGGAGACUGCCGGUGACAAACCGGAGGAAGGUGGGGAUGACGUCAGGUCAUCAUGGCCCUUACGGCCAGGGCUACACACGUGCUACAAUGGUGCGUACAGAGGGCUGCAAACUCGCGAGAGUAAGCCAAUCCCUUAAAACGCAUCGUAGUCCGGAUCGGAGUCUGCAACUCGACUCCGUGAAGUCGGAAUCGCUAGUAAUCGCGAAUCAGAAUGUCGCGGUGAAUACGUUCCCGGGCCUUGUACACACCGCCCGUCACACCAUGGGAGUGGAUUGCACCAGAAGUGGUUAGUCUAACCUUCGGGAGGACGAUCACCACGGUGUGGUUCAUGACUGGGGUGAAGUCGUAACAAGGUAGCCGUAGGGGAACCUGCGGCUGGAUCACCUCCUU